GGGAUGAGAGCUAUGUGAGAGUAUUGAGCCUUGAAAUGUCUAUUGAUCCAUUGUGGAUAACUUUGAAGAAGUUGUAGAGAUCUGGUUUUAGUAGCUCCCAAAAAUUUUGGUAGAAGCUGUUUGCAAAACCAUCAAGAUCGGGUGCCGUAUCCUUUGCCAGCCCAAAUACUGCUUAUUUGAUCUCAUCCUCUGUAAAUGGAUC
RNAcentral lists this long non-coding RNA (202 nucleotides) under Elaeis guineensis (African oil palm). Its description in RNAcentral is "long non-coding RNA (EGUI_LNC027490)". Lineage: Eukaryota; Viridiplantae; Streptophyta; Magnoliopsida; Arecales; Arecaceae. The record is from RNAcentral.